GGACCUAUGGGGCACCCUGAAACCACCAACACGUCCAAGAAUCUAUGGGGUACCCCAAAACUGCCAACACAUUGAUGGACCUAUGGGGAGCCCCGAAACCAACCACGGACCUAUGGGCACCCCAAAACCACCAACUUCUCCAUGGACCUAUGGGGCACCCCAAAACCACCAACACGUCCAAGGACCUAUGGGGAGCCCCGAAACCAACCGCGGACCUAUGGGGCACCCCAAAACCACCAACACAUUGAUGGACCUAUGGGGAGCCCCGAAACAAACCAUGGCCCUAUGGGGCACCCCGAAACUGCCAACUUCUCUAUGGAGCUAUG
This 326-nucleotide long non-coding RNA is filed under the name Anser brachyrhynchus (Pink-footed goose). RNAcentral describes it as "lncRNA (ENSABRG00000009321.1)". The record is from RNAcentral. Lineage: Eukaryota; Metazoa; Chordata; Aves; Anseriformes; Anatidae.